GUCUACGGCCAUGCUACCCUGAACAAGUCUGAUCCCGUCUGAUCUCCGAAGCUAAGCAGGGUUGGGCCUGGUUAGUACUUAGAUGGGCGACCACCUAGGAAGACCAGGUGCUGUAGGCG
Molecule: ribosomal RNA, 119 nt
Filed under: Pteropus alecto (black flying fox)
Lineage: Eukaryota; Metazoa; Chordata; Mammalia; Chiroptera; Pteropodidae
Source: RNAcentral